UAAGUGCAAUUCCGUUAACGGGACAGCCAGUGUAACUGUCGUGUACGACUUGACAGCACAAUGCCUCCUCGGCUCUCUUGGAUUUCCUUUUGUUCCUUUUGUCGAGUAUCGUUACUUACGCCGGCUCGGAUCGUUGCGCGCCAUCUUUUAUACGAUACUUUUUUUCUUUCUUUCUCUCUCUCUCUCUCUCCAUCCAUUACGCUCCUCGUCGAACGAGGAAAGAUACCGCGCACGUGUGUGUAUAUAUAUGUAUAUAUGCGUGUGUGUAACACGAGCACGUAGAGGUAGAGACACGUAUAUACGUCGGUAAUAUUCGGCCGGCAAUAAGUCGAACGUAAGGCUGUUCCAAAAAUAUCAACGGUGCAAGGUUAUCUCGUUUCCCUCCCGUGUAUUUUUGGAUUUUCACAAACACCGGCGUCCAAUCCUUCUGUUUCCCGAACAAUAACGCCUACGUCAACUCUAACACGUUAACAAAUGCGCGUGUAUCUUAUCUAUGCCGGGCCGGGCAUUACGGUAACAUUAUUGCUUGAUAAUGCAAUAAGCUUUUAUCUUCACCUAUAAAUAUACAUGCAUGUAUCGCAACGAGUAAAUCGAAUGAAUCUGUUUCGUGCGGUAACAGAAGAAUGGCUCGUCUUUUACGCGCUUCUUCCCUGAAAUCUGCUCUCGUUUUCGAAAGAUCCGAUUCAGAUUUUCCAUCCACGCGAUUCACUGAUCGAAUCUUGCGGCCAGCAGGGGAUAAUUGUAGGAAUUGUAAUAAAUGGAAAGUAGCUGGAUAUUCGUGUCGUUUGAAAAAUUGCACACGGUCGUUUCAAUUAUGCAAAUGUAUAUAUAAUGUAAUAUAAUUGGAUACAUAUUUUGUAUUUUAAUAAAAGAAACAUCGUACGAACCCCCUCCCCGAGAGCAUUUUCCCGUGGCAACAGGAACCACCGUCUCGAUGGUAAGUAAAAGCUCUCACCUCUGCGUCCACUGGUAAAUAUACCGAAGCUCGGCGUGCAACCUUAAAAACUUUUCGUAAUAAAUCAGUGCACAAUACGACAGGCUGGAAUCGGACAAAUCUCGUUAGUCGGGUCGAAGAAGUUUGUGCCGGGAGAAAGAGAGAAAGAGGGGAAGAUAGGGGGCAAGAAAGAAAGAGAGGGGGAGAGGGAAAGAGAGGGAGAGCGAGAGAAGAGGAAAGCCGGUUCACCUUGGUUGCUGGAACCCAUCUGCAUGCGAGGACCGCGGAUGGGGAAGAAGGGGGAGAGAAGAAAAGGACAAACUAAGGAGAAGAGGUGGAAGAGGAGGAGUAGGAGGAGGAGGAGGAGGAGAAAGAAGAAGAAGAAAAGGAAAUCGAAGCUAGGGGAACGACAUUCCAACUGGGGUCGGGAUGAGAAGCGUCAUCUCUUGGAAAACCGACGCUACCUUUCUUCUACGUUUCGCCAACCAUUGGAACCCAGCGUGCAAAUAUCAGGAACGUAUGAUCAUCGUAAUAACGCGCAGAUAAAAAAAUUUGGCCGAGACGAAUUAAUUAGAAAUUUUUUGAAAGUUUCUCCAAUUCGAAUUUUUUAAAAACGAGAUAACGCGUGAAUAUUUUAAUAAUCCGCGAUAUAUAAUAUAACUUCCCUGUAUAAAUCAGAUUACAGGGAAUGGCGCGUUUAAUCAUAAUGUACGGCGCGUGUUACGUCAAACGGAGUAAAUUACAUUAUUAAUUCUUCUCGAACGCGAUGCUUCAUUUAGCGGCUCGCCUAUGACGAAGAAACAUAUAGAACCGCUAAUAAGAGACAUUGGUAAUUGUAAUUGAUUGCAACUCUGUACCGGAACGGUACAAAAGUUUCAAAUGGAAGAUAAAUCUUUCACGGGACGCGAUGGUAGGAAGAUUGCGAGAAACUGAGGAUUUUUUUCAAUACGGAUACGAGGUAUAUUUGAUCGAUUUCGAAAUAAUUAUAUAGGAUAAAGUGACGAUUAUUUAUCUUGGGAAUAAAACUAUGAUUUAUAUCGA
This is a long non-coding RNA of Apis cerana (Asiatic honeybee), 1975 nucleotides long. RefSeq lists it as uncharacterized. The record is from RefSeq and is a predicted model, not a curated record. NCBI's taxonomy places the organism in Eukaryota, Metazoa, Arthropoda, Insecta, Hymenoptera, Apidae.